AUUUUUAUUAUUAUUAUUAGGGGUUCGAGCACGAAGUGCUGAAACCCUAUUGUAAUUGUUAGGAUUUUUAUUAUUAUUAUUAUUAUUAUUAUUAUUAUUAUUAUUAUUAUUAUUAUUAUUCUUCCGCCUUAAAACUGAACGGGCAGCCCAAACCGUAAGGCCUAGAGAGCUGAAACUUGGUCAAAAGGUAGUAGUCUUGCUCGCUACUCAGGCGCAAAGAACUGGCCCAAUCGGCCUAACGGGGGCGCUACAGCGCAAAAAACUAAAUUUUCAGACAUUUUUGGCCGUAGCUUGUAAACCGUUUGUCGUAGACUCAAAAACAUGGCAUCGUUGCAAUCCUUGGGUUAGCCCGAACAAAAUUGCUCUGCUGGUUUUUUCGCUCUACGGCGCAUCGUUUCCUCGCAAAAUUGAGUUAUAUCUGAAACCUACUUUUGCGAACUAGUCCUAGGUUUUUCACCCGAUCAGAACCAAACCACUGCAGAAAUAUUCUCUGGACACUCAAUAUCAAUAAUUAUCGAAAAAAAGUUGAAAUUUCGAUUCUUACGCGAAACAGUACACCAAGAAGCGUCUAUGCUAACGUUAGCCAAAUGUUAUUUUAGCUAUAACUCUUGAACGGAAUGACAUAUCUUCAUCAAACUCGGGACAAAUGUGUAUAAGCUCAAUCUUUGGUCAAAUAAAAAAAAAUGCGCACCUCUACCACUUGGGGGCGCUAUAAGACAGAAAAAACACAUAAAUGGCUAUAACUAUUCAACCAUUAGUCCGAUCGACUUGAAAAUUGGAAUGCAGUUUCUUUGUCUGAAGGGGCACAAUCGUCUAUGAGGACAUUCGCGUAUCUCAAAAAACAUGGCCGCCAUUGGCCAAUUAAUUUUAAGCAACUAUUAGACAAGGUUAACGGAGGUCAAUCGGAACGAAACUUGGUGGGCAUGUUCGACUCAUGGCCCUAAAGGUCUGUAAGAAUUUUGAAAGAAAUCGGCCACUAGUUGGCGCUAACGAGUUUUUUGGCUCUGUAAUCACAUGGUGUUUCACAUAUCCACGAAAUAUGGACAUCAUUUGAUAGAUCUCCUCAUAAUGCACAACUUUGCCUCAAGAACCAUUACUGUCAAUCAAAUUGUUCAUUAAUUAUUCACAAAUAUGUUAAAAACAUACUUUUGCGAACUAGUCCUAGGUUUUUCGCCCAAUCAGAACCAAACCAC
This is a long non-coding RNA of Cyprinus carpio carpio, 1193 nucleotides long. NCBI's taxonomy places the organism in Eukaryota, Metazoa, Chordata, Actinopteri, Cypriniformes, Cyprinidae. The record is from Ensembl.